UGACCUCGGAUCAGGUAGGGAUACCCGCUGAACUUAAGCAUAUCAAUAAGCGGAGGAAAAGAAACCAACAGGGAUUGCCUCAGUAACGGCGAGUGAAGCGGCAAGAGCUCAAAUUUGAAAGCUGGCCCCUUCGGGGUCCGCGUUGUAAUUUGCAGAGGAUGCUUCGGGUGCAGCCCCCGUCUAAGUGCCCUGGAACGGGCCGUCAUAGAGGGUGAGAAUCCCGUCUGGGACGGGGUGUCUGCGUCCGUGUGAAGCUCCUUCGACGAGUCGAGUUGUUUGGGAAUGCAGCUCUAAAUGGGUGGUAAAUUUCAUCUAAAGCUAAAUACUGGCCGGAGACCGAUAGCGCACAAGUAGAGUGAUCGAAAGAUGAAAAGCACUUUGAAAAGAGAGUUAAACAGCACGUGAAAUUGUUGAAAGGGAAGCGUUUGCGACCAGACUCGCCCGCGGGGUUCAGCCGGCAUUCGUGCCGGUGUACUUCCCCGUGGGCGGGCCAGCGUCGGUUUGGGCGGCCGGUCAAAGGCCCUCGGAAUGUAUCACCUCUCGGGGUGUCUUAUAGCCGAGGGUGCAAUGCGGCCUGCCUGGACCGAGGAACGCGCUUCGGCUCGGACGCUGGCGUAAUGGUCGUAAAUGAC
This 632-nucleotide ribosomal RNA is filed under the name Aspergillus fumigatus. Its description in RNAcentral is "LSU rRNA". It matches the Rfam family "Eukaryotic large subunit ribosomal RNA", at positions 1 to 648 of the family's 3401-position model. Lineage: Eukaryota; Fungi; Ascomycota; Eurotiomycetes; Eurotiales; Aspergillaceae. The record is from RNAcentral.